Molecule: ribosomal RNA, 36 nt
Filed under: Cylindrocladiella australiensis
Lineage: Eukaryota; Fungi; Ascomycota; Sordariomycetes; Hypocreales; Nectriaceae
Description: partial 28S ribosomal RNA
Source: RNAcentral
UGACCUCGGAUCAGGUAGGACUACCCGCUGAACUUA